UCGAGAGUUGCUUGCAAUAUGGUGCAUCAAAUAAAUGCGGGAGACGUUCAAACUUUAACUUGUCUCCGUUUCUUAUUUUAUUAUAUACAAGUGUUUAGGCGAACCCUAUACGAACGCUCGGUUACAUUUCCUAUAUCAAAACAAAGUUCUCAUCCCGGAGGAUUCAAAACAGCAGAAAAAAAGAGGAUGUCUCCGUUUUGAAUCCUGACUCCACCUCAAAGCUCGAAGAGAACUGGGUGCCUGUGUUUAAGGACACGAUCCUGCACUUUGGCAACAGAGAGCAGUGGCUCUUCAUCUGCUUUUCAAUGUGGAAACUAUGACCGCAGACAGACAAGUUGACAUCGCCUUUCUGGUCCAUAUUGUGCUCUCAACAUUGAUACACUACCGGUCAAAAGUUUUGAUCUUAAAAAUCAUUUGAUCCGAAAGAGUAUGCUUAAGUGUUUGAAAUUAGUUUUGUAGACAAAAAUAUAAUUGUUCCACCAUAUUAAUUUAUUUCAUAAAAAAAGUUUUUGACAUUGAUGACUUGGACCAAAUAAUAAAGAAAAGCAGCCAAUAAGUGCCCAACAUAGAUGGGAACUACUCCAAUACUGUUUAAAAAGCAUCCCAGGGUGAUACCUCAAGAAGUUGGUUGAGAAAAUGUCAAGAGUACAUGUCUGCAGAUUCUAGGCAAAGGGUGACUACUUUGAAGAUGCUAAAAUAUAACAAAGUUUUGAUUUAUUUUGGAUUUUGUUUAGUCACAGCAUAAUUUCCAUUUCUAUUAUUCCAUAGUUGCGAUGACUUUACUAUUAUUCUAAAAUGUGUGUGUGUGUGGGGGGGGUGGAAAUUAUAAUAAGUGUUUCAAAACCUUUGACCAGUAGUGUACAUGAUUGGAAGGAAUAUGUUUGGACCAAGCUUCACAGGAACCAAGAAAGCCUUCAUUGACAUGCAGCCUGUUGGUACCAGUGGCUGAUUUCCUGCACCGUGCAAAAGAUGCCAUUUUUCCAUACACACCGAUGCUUGGAGAAAACAGUCAGUGCUUUCGAGCAUUUGUUGUCAUUCACUGUGAAGCACUUCAACAAAAUGCAUUGCGGGGCACAGUGGACAUUUGCUUCAAAGCGUUCUACGUCUUAAAUAUUAAUUACCCCAAACUGCAAAUUUAAAUUAAUUUCUACUGACUGGAAACAUGUUUACCAAAACAGAAAAUACAUUUCUACCUUUUAAAUUGUUAUUGUAGUCUGCCUGCCUCUCUCUCACUGUGUGGUUGUGGUAAAGUGAUUUUGAUGACCAAGAAUUCUGAAAAUUUUUAACCCAAUUUGCGUAUAUUUUAACCCAGCAUACUGCAAUGACUUAAAUAAGUAGAUAACAAUUUUUGCAAAUUUCGCUUUAGUUUGCAAAAUACAUUUGUCUUUGCUGCUGUCAUUUUUUGUUUUAACAUUUUUGUGAUGUUGCUGCAACAAUGUAAACUUCACAGGUACUAUUUUCUAAACUUUUAAUAUUUAACAUUAAGACCAAAUGUAACUAGUUCAUGGUGAAUUAAUAGGUACUGAUACCAAACCUGUUUCUUUGUACUCCCAUUUGUGUUUUAGUCUCCUAGUAGGUGUUUUUGUUUUUCUGUUUUGCUGUUGAAAUGUUUAAUGAAUUUGUAACAUUGUAAUAUGAAUAAAUAUUUAGAAUUUCUUUUGAAACACUUGAGUACACUUUAUAAUAAAUAGGCUAUAUUAGGAAACUUGGAAUAUAAAUUAAAUGCAUUUGAAAAUCAAGUGUAACCAACUUAAAAACAUGUGU
Myxocyprinus asiaticus (Chinese sucker) is the source of this 1764-nucleotide long non-coding RNA. RefSeq lists it as uncharacterized. The transcript is spliced from 4 exons. The record is from RefSeq and is a predicted model, not a curated record. Lineage: Eukaryota; Metazoa; Chordata; Actinopteri; Cypriniformes; Catostomidae.